This 450-nucleotide ribosomal RNA is filed under the name uncultured bacterium. Its description in RNAcentral is "partial 16S ribosomal RNA". It matches the Rfam family "Bacterial small subunit ribosomal RNA", at positions 338 to 795 of the family's 1533-position model. The record is from RNAcentral.
CCUACGGGGGGCUGCAGUGGGGAAUAUUGGACAAUGGGCGGAAGCCUGAUCCAGCAAUACCGCGUGUGUGAAGAAGGCCUGAGGGUUGUAAAGCACUUUCAAUAGGAAGGAAUACCUAUCCAUUAAUACUGGGUAGACUGACAUUACCUAUACAAGAAGCACCGGCUAACUCCGUGCCAGCAGCCGCGGUAAUACGGAGGGUGCAAUAGUUAAUCGGAAUUGCUGGGCGUAGAGCCGGCGAGUCAGACUCGAAAGCCCCGGGCUUAACCUGGGAAUGGCAUUUGAUACUGGCGUGCUAGAGUUGAGUAGAGGGGAGUGGAAUUUCAGGUGUAGCGGUGAAAUGCGUAGAGAUCUGAAGGAACACCAGUGGCGAAGGCGACUCCCUGGACUCAAACUGACGCUGAGGUACGAAAGCGUGGGUAGCAAACAGGAUUAGAUACCCGUGUAGUC